CGGCUGAGUUCAGCUGCCGGAGCUCGGCGCUGCGUCACUCCGAGCUGGAGAAGGGGCUCGGGGCUGCUCUCGGCAGCAUGGAGAAAGGACUGGUUGUUACUCAGCUGGAUGUUGAGCCUGGUGAGUGCAUCAAGGUCAAAGGGAAGAUCCAGUCUGAUGCCAAAGGGUUUGCUGUGAAUGUCGGGAAGGACAGCAACACCCUCAUGCUGCAUUUCAACCCUCGCUUUGACUGUCACGGGGACGUCAACACCAUCGUGUGCAAUUCCAAGGAGGAUGGCAUGUGGGGGGAAGAGGACAGGAAGGCUGACUUUCCCUUCCAGCAUGGUGACAAGAUAGAGAUAUGCAUCUCCUUCGAUGAAACCGAGGCCACGGUGAAGCUGCCUGAGGCGGAGUUCAAGUUCCCAAAUCGUCUGGGCAUGGAGAAAAUCGAAUACCUGGCUGUGGAGGGUGACUUCAAAGUCAAAGCCAUUAAGUUCAGCUAACAGCUAUAGCUUGCCUGCCACUCAUGCUGACCCGAGACAGGGCUGGAGCUGGGACUGCUGUGGCAUUUGAGGACCCGAUGACAAUCACCAAAGGGAGAUCUGUGCUUUCCCACUGUGCCUGCAGCCAGCUGAAGGGGGCUGUCACACCAUCCUUCAACAGUCCAUGACCUACCUGGAGACAGCUCUGGAGAAGGUGCUUGACCCAGGUACCAUAAAGUGACUUGGGAAGGAGUCCCACCCAUUGUUACCUACAAACAGAGGCCACCCAGGCUGGCAAACACCCAUGCUGUCAUCCCUGUGGCAGGGUGGGAUGUAGGGCAUUCCACACCAAUAUCCAAACCAGAUGUUUCUCUUAUAAAAAUAAGGCUCAAUAUUAGCAAAAAUUGCCAGGCUGCUGAGAACUCCUUCCCUGAGAUGUGUUUUGGGGAAGGGGUAGCACAGCAGAUGGUGCUCACUGUAUUUGAGGUACUGGUUUUCUCCACUGCAGCCACUGCAAUACAGUGUCAGUUUUAAAAAUCUCACGUAACCAGACCCAAAAUGCGGAUUUGUGUCAGGAAGUUAGCAAGGACUGGACAGGAAGUGUAAAAUUCUAUCCCUGGUAUUCCUAUCCCAUGUAAUCACUCUGGGAAAUCCUGGGUUUCCACUAUCCUCUAGUUUCAGAGCCACAGGAGAAAAGCAAGGUGGGAUAAAAAGCAAUGAAUACACUCCCCUUUUUGCCAGAGGUAAAAGAAGUAGAUCUUUUUUGCCUGAGAAGUACAUCUUCAGGCUUGCCUGAUGUUUAAUUACCUUUAAAUACAUAUCAAGGUGUACUUCUACCAAACUCAGUAAACUUUGCAGUUAGGAGGGUGAUUUUUGAACAAAACUGUGCAAAGAGAGUUUUUCCUGCACUUACCACAAAAACCGUGGCUUUAACUCAUUUCUCACUUGAAAAUCUAAGCUGUUAUAAAAACAUCAGUGACUAUCACUUGCCUUAUUAGCUGAUGUUUCUGUGUACUGUGGGAACACACACAGGACUUGCUUUAUCCACCCCAAACUUGCUGGAGGUGCUCCCCCUGAAGCCAUGUGGGUUCCUGGAGUAAACAGGCAGAUCCUGUUUGGAUGGAGCCUCUUCCUGACCUGGGCAUAUACGGCAGGACUUGUGUUUUUCAGGAAAGAACUCACUAAAUGGAAAAUAUACAAACACCUCCCAGAUCUACCAUGUCUUCUUGAGUUGUUUUGGUAAGUGUAAGAUGGAAGGGUGGCUGCAAAAGAAAAAAUAAACAAAAAAAAAAAAAUCUGCAUUUAAAGUGGUUUUAAAUCUAAUAAAUCAAACUGCAGCAGUGGGUAGGAUUUUUGCUUUUAGGGCAAAUGAAAUGUGUUGACUGGAUUGAAACAGCUCCCCCCGCUGUUUGCCUGAUACUCUACUCAAAUCUGGGCUUUAUAAAUCAUGUCGGUAGAGAUCCCUGUCACUCCUCAGGGAAAUCUUUCAGGCUGCAGCAGAAACAAAGACCACAGCUAUGAGUAUUCAAAAUAAAGACACAAUUUCCCCCACAUUCCUGCAGUGAAUUCCUUGCUUCAUGCUAGCUUGGACUCUCCUGAGAUACAGGUUGCCAUAGAAGAUGUUUGAACUCCAGACUCAGAGGACCACAGGAUCCAGAAGAGGAAAAAAUUUGUUAUU
This is an RNA transcript of Pseudopodoces humilis (Tibetan ground-tit), 2139 nucleotides long. It is a transcript of the gene named 16 kDa beta-galactoside-binding lectin, with no coding region annotated. Lineage: Eukaryota; Metazoa; Chordata; Aves; Passeriformes; Paridae. The record is from RefSeq and is a predicted model, not a curated record.